GACGAACGCUGGCGGCGUGCUUAACACAUGCAAGUCGAACGGUAAGGCCCUUCGGGGUACACGAGUGGCGAACGGGUGAGUAACACGUGGGUGAUCUGCCCUGCACUUCGGGAUAAGCCUGGGAAACUGGGUCUAAUACCGGAUAGGACCACUGCCUGCAUGGGUGGUGGUGGAAAGCUUUUGCGGUGUGGGAUGGGCCCGCGGCCUAUCAGCUUGUUGGUGGGGUGAUGGCCUACCAAGGCGACGACGGGUAGCCGGCCUGAGAGGGUGACCGGCCACACUGGGACUGAGAUACGGCCCAGACUCCUAUGGGAGGCAGCAGUGGGGAAUAUCGCACAAUGGGCGCAAGCCUGAUGCAGCGACGCCGCGUGAGGGAUGACGGCCUUCGGGUUGUAAACCUCUUUCAGCACCGACGAAGCGCAAGUGACGGUAGGUGCAGAAGAAGCACCGGCCAACUACGUGCCAGCCGCCGCCGUAA
This 478-nucleotide ribosomal RNA is filed under the name uncultured bacterium. Its description in RNAcentral is "partial 16S ribosomal RNA". It matches the Rfam family "Bacterial small subunit ribosomal RNA", at positions 28 to 523 of the family's 1533-position model. The record is from RNAcentral.